Molecule: small RNA, 297 nt
Filed under: Drosophila pseudoobscura pseudoobscura
Lineage: Eukaryota; Metazoa; Arthropoda; Insecta; Diptera; Drosophilidae
Description: GA31509
Source: RNAcentral
CGCACUUUUAACGAUAUAAAUUCCAGAUCUAAGCUGGCAUACGCCAAAAAAAAAAGUGUGUAAUGGCACAAAAAAUUAAUAUAUGUACCAAUUUGGCAGCAGUAAUUACAAUUUGAGCUGUCAGUGAACAAUACAACCCGCAUGGCUAGCUGAUGGAAAUAGUCCCCACUUGGCAAUCACAUGGCGCUUUAGACAGACACUCUAAUCUAAACGGACCAUCUACGAGGAGAACAUCACCCGCCGAACCAGCACCGCAAACUGACAUGCAAAUUAAAAAGCAUAUGCUUUGACUCCUAA